Molecule: long non-coding RNA, 492 nt
Filed under: Struthio camelus australis
Lineage: Eukaryota; Metazoa; Chordata; Aves; Struthioniformes; Struthionidae
Description: lncRNA (ENSSCUG00000003252.1)
Source: RNAcentral
GGUUGAUUUACUCAGUCUGAGGUUAACUGAUUACUACUUACAACAUGCCUAUAGCACAAUAUUUUUUUCUGAGUCUCCAAAGCUCAGGUGAAAUAGGAAGAUGGUUGUCUUGCCUAUUAUCGCUGAGGAAUAUCUCUGGAUUUUAGUACACUUCUGUAGUGUACAAAUUAACUAAUGAUGUUUCAAUUAUUCAUCUGUUUUUCACUCCCUCUCUAUAGUGGCAAGGAGAGAACGGCUUCAUUUGAAAUGCCUGCAGGAUGUCAGCAGGAGCUGCUGCCUCAAACAGACACAGAAUUCAUCUGCAAGAUCUGCUUAUAUACACUAUUUAAGUUUUUAUUCCUUCACACAAAUAGAUCAGAGUGCCCAGAGGAAUAUCAGACGUAUACAAACUCUCUACUUGACUAACGCAUGAGCUCCACGUACUGGGAUUCAAAGACUUCUUUCCAAUGAACACAAAAUAAACAGCGGCAUCUUAUUUUAAAUGUAAUGCUA